CACUUAUAUAAUUUUGAUUGUUGCUCAGAAAGCCCUCAUUGUUUACCAGUUGGCUUUCGAGCAAUAAUUGAAACCAGAUAAGUG
This is a non-coding RNA of Drosophila melanogaster (fruit fly), 84 nucleotides long. Its record names the gene mir-315. NCBI's taxonomy places the organism in Eukaryota, Metazoa, Arthropoda, Insecta, Diptera, Drosophilidae. The record is from Ensembl.